Molecule: signal recognition particle RNA, 98 nt
Filed under: Polynucleobacter sp.
Lineage: Bacteria; Pseudomonadati; Pseudomonadota; Betaproteobacteria; Burkholderiales; Burkholderiaceae
Description: signal recognition particle sRNA small type
Rfam family: Bacterial small signal recognition particle RNA
About the family: The signal recognition particle (SRP) is a universally conserved ribonucleoprotein involved in the co-translational targeting of proteins to membranes. Archaeal SRP consists of a 7S RNA and homologues of the eukaryotic SRP19 and SRP54 proteins.
Source: RNAcentral
GACGGGCCUCCUCGCAUGGCGGCUUGGCAACCUGGUCAGGUCGGGAACGAAGCAGCCAAACCCAAAUACUGUCAGUGCCGAGGGUUUGGCUCGUCCUC